Molecule: long non-coding RNA, 1076 nt
Filed under: Homo sapiens (human)
Lineage: Eukaryota; Metazoa; Chordata; Mammalia; Primates; Hominidae
Description: HSALNT0073180
Rfam family: U1 spliceosomal RNA (bases 614-777)
Source: RNAcentral
AUUUUUUGCACGGUAAGACAAAAAGCCCUUUAUAUCCACUUUUAUCUCAACUUUCAUUGUCUCUUGCCUUGACUGGUGCAUCAACUUCCUAAACCCAUAUCUACCUUGUCUUGAAUACCUAUCAUUAUUAGAUUAAUCAUCCUAAAGUGUAGAUAUAAUUUGGUUAUUCUUUGCUCAAAAAUUUGCAGGGCCAUUUAAUAGUUUCCUAAUAUCUAUUGCAGUAGUUCUCAAAUUUUAGUGUGAUAAUAAGCAGCAUCUGGGAAGCUAGCUAUAAUGCACAUAUUGGAGGCCUGCUGGCAGAGAUUCCUAUUUAUUCGUGAAUGGGGCUCAGGAAGCUAUUUUUAACAGCUAUCCCAUGUAAGUUGAAAUACAUUUGUUCUUUGGGCUAAUAUCCAAAUUUUUUAACCUUAAUGAUAAUAAUCAAUAACUUGUUUCUAGAAUACUUUUUGAAGUCUUUAUGCACCACCCCCUAAACAUAUACAUGCUUUAAUGAUAUGAAACCAUUCUCUCUAAAUACCAAAUUUUCCAGACUUCACUGAUUUUCUUAAUCUUUUAUUUCCAGUUAAAGUAUACUGCCUGUUAAUUGCUGCCUAUCCCGCUCAUGUAUGGUUUGAUACUUAGCUGGCAGAGGAAAUACCAUGAUCACAAAGGUGGUUUUCCCAGGGUGAGGUUUAUCCAUUAAACUCAGGAUGUGCUGACCCCUGCGAUUUCCCCAAAUGUGGGAAACUCAACUGCAUAAUUGGUGAUAGUGAGAGACUGCGUUCUCACUUUCCCCUAAGGGGGGUGUGGGGAUGAAGUAUGGUUUGAAUGCCACCCUCUAAUGAAGCAUUUCCCAUCCCCUGACCCAAUGUGAGCUCUCCUUUCUCUGAAACCCCGUAGUAUUGUAAUAGGGUGACCCUGCAUGAUAUUAGACCUAGGAAUUUUUCUGAAUUUUAGUGAAAAAGACAGAAAAAAACAAUUAAAGCAGAGGCCAGUGUUCUAGAUCCUAAUAGGCAAAGUCCUAGAUUUAUCUGUAAGGCAAACUUCCCUUUGUUCUGGGAAGCAAGUUGGACUUAGUGAAGCACCAGUCAUCUGUG